UGGGGAAUUUUCCGGCUAAUGGGCGAAAGGCCUGACGGAGCAAUGCCGCGUGGAGGUGGAAGGCCUACGGGUCGUCAACUUCUUUUCUCGGAGAAGAAACAAUGACGGUAUCUGAGGAAUAAGCAUCGGCUAACUCUGUGCCAG
RNAcentral lists this ribosomal RNA (144 nucleotides) under uncultured bacterium. Its description in RNAcentral is "partial 16S rRNA". It matches the Rfam family "Bacterial small subunit ribosomal RNA", at positions 355 to 511 of the family's 1533-position model. The record is from RNAcentral.